GUUACGUUUCGCGAACGGCGCCGUAACAAAUUUGCAGUGGUUGGUACGAUUGUAUUAUAGAGUGCGCUAGGCUUUACUAAUCACUUCCUUUUGGAUUCGGGACGGACAAAUGAAAGCACUAAGCGCUUCAUGUAUCGUGAUGUGGCAAAUUUGCGACGAAAAUUCGUGAAUUUUGCAUAAAUGAAAUGUGCGGAUCAUCUUUCGUUUAAUAAUGCGGAUGAUAAGUGCUGAUUUUCAAUGUUCAUCGAUUCUUCAAUAAAAAUGAUAUGGAGUACGAAUCAGAAUCUGCAAAGCAAAUUGAAAUAUUUUGGCUGCUCCUAUUGUCUCGAUGGAAUUGACGCGAAGUAAUCUAUGACAGAAUCUGCAGUGAAUGAAGUCAUGUAUUCAUUUCAUCAGGUAUAGCUAUAAAAGCACAUUGAGCUGGAGGAUACAACGACUGUAAAAUGUAUCUUUUCCCUCCCAUGGGUACAUCGUGGUGGGAAAGUUCAGUACUCGGAUUUAUCCUGAAGGAGAAGCUAAUGUACUUUGGUGUCGUGUUUCGAAUCAUCAUAUUCGUUCCGCCGUAAUUUUGUAACGUAGUAAAACACACGUCGGGAGUGCGGGAGUGUCGUUAUGCCGGAAGUGCCGUGAUAGUUUCGCGCGAAUACGAAACGCCGUAUUCCAGCGAAUCGUAUGGAUGAACGCAUUUUCGAAUGAUAAAUAUUGAGACACGAUUAAACCCUUUUUGAGAAAUUUUUUUCUUUGAAUUUCUCCCUCUAUUUUGAGAGAAUCGCAUUUUAAUUGGUAAAUGCGAUCAUCUGAAACGCAGACGGAAUUCGCGUGUAACGUUGCAGCUUGAACAAUUUGGUUCGAUUUGCCUGCGACGUUGGGAGUGCCGUUUAAGUAAAGUGCCGUGCGAUUCUGCGUCGCGAACGCGUGUGAGUGCUUGAAAAUCACUGAAAGGAGGAGGAAGAGACUCGGGAGCAGCAUCGGGUGCUGGAGGACAUGAACUGCGUGCAUGGAACUUUGACAAAGUGGCGGUUUUAGGAGAGAAGAAGUUCCAGGAAUGCUACUUGCAGGAAACCGUCUGACCUACCGGUCAAUUGUCCGUCCGGUGCUCAAUUGAAAGGUGUGCCUGACUUUGUAGUCAGCAUCGAGGCGUCGUAUGGGAAUUGAUCGAUUAUGCUAACCGUCAGUACUGAGAAAUGAAGAGAGAGAGAGAGAGGGGAAGAGAGGAAGAAACGACAGUAAGUUGCAAAAUGUACGACAUCGACAGCUAUUUCCAUUCAAAAGAGUUGAAGGUAAAAUCCUGCAACGUGAGAUAUGACGUAAAUUCGAAGAUUUCUAAGAUUUCAAAAUUUUUAAGAUAUUUUGCGAAUGACGUAUAACGGUACACAACUUAUCAACUUAUUUCUUGGUAUAUUUCAAAUAAUUUUCGAUAACGUAUUUCACAGCAUAUCUGAAAGUGUCCGAAAACUGCUAAUAUAUGCAAGAAUGUAAAAAAUAUUGACGAUAAAAAUAUAGAAAUUACUAAUAUAUUAAAUAUUGCAAAAAGAGAAAGAUCUCAGAUCUCUCAGAAAAUAAAUACAGCCGUUACGACACAAAAACCGCAAUUCGAGAAAUCCUUAUAUUCACCACAACGUCUCUUGAUCAGAAAACGUCUAGGAACAAAUAUAUCAAAGUAUUCUAAUGAUUUUUACAAGUUGCGCGGACCACACCGAAGAAAAUACUUCAGCCGCGAAAGAAUGACGGUACGUUCUUCGUGAAGCGAACGUGUCUCUCCUUUCUGCCUGUUUUCGACCCGAGUAGACGACGCUCUUUCAGAACAGCUGAAUAAAAUUAUUAUGAUAAGACCUCGAUUAAUUUCAGACGGUGGAACUCCGGUAGUCGGCCGGCCGCGUAAGCCAGACUCUGAAUAGGCUUACGCGGCGGCUGGAUGUAUAUUCCGCGGCCCUCUCCUCUUCUCUUUCCAUCGGUCGUUCGUACGUUUCUAAAGACCGUAGAAUCCUUGAAUCGUGAACGAACGCGAGACGCAGAAUCGGCGGUCAUUAAUAUUGUCGGAUUAAACGGCCGCGUGCAUUAAUCCAGCCCCGAAGACGAAAUCCUAUUUCACGUCCCAGGCCUUCGGGGGUUCUUGUUUCGGAAUGUCAGUUUCAUUAGAGACGUUCGUGAUCGAGAAAGCGAUUAAAACGAAGGGGCGGAAGAGGAGAGGUAGGCUCGAAGGAGCGAAGUGUCGAGAAAAAAAUAUUCUCGCGCUCAGAAGGAAUU
Linepithema humile (Argentine ant) is the source of this 2247-nucleotide non-coding RNA. The record is from RefSeq and is a predicted model, not a curated record. Lineage: Eukaryota; Metazoa; Arthropoda; Insecta; Hymenoptera; Formicidae.